Long non-coding RNA from Bubalus bubalis (water buffalo), 633 nucleotides. RefSeq lists it as uncharacterized. The record is from RefSeq and is a predicted model, not a curated record. The transcript has 5 exons. Lineage: Eukaryota; Metazoa; Chordata; Mammalia; Artiodactyla; Bovidae.
GGCAAAGACAGAUGUUUCCUUGAUCUCACGGAAAAUCCAAAGCUUCGUUCUGUAGUUGAAAUUAUGUGCUUUUAUUUGUAACGAUAUUUUUAGGAAGAUAGUCAUGAAAUGAUGAUAUAAAAUAUAUGUAUUCAAAGGAGAGACACCAAGGGUAUUUUCAUUUUUUUUUAAUACAAGGACUUCUGUGCUGCUGAUUGGAACAGGGACUGUUUAGAGCAGAAACUGCUGACAGAGUGAAUUUAAUGAAACAAAUACAUGCCCAAUUACAAGGCAGUGUGAGUGUGUGUGAGGGCACAUACUGGACCACAGGCAGCAAACACACAACACGUCAGGACCCCAUGUCUGACGGUGGGUUCUUUACUGACUGAGCCACCAGGGAUGUCCAUGACUUCUUUUGAUAAAGCUGCACUGCUCAGCAUGAGGACUCUUAAUUUCUCGACUAGGGAUUGGAAGCACAGAGUCUUAACCACUAGACCACCAGGGAGAUCCUGCUCAAUAAAUAUUUUUAAUCUAACUUUUUAAUCAGGUGAAGUCUAAAAUACUUGAUUAAUCAGAAUGGUCUAUUUCUUGUUUAAUUUGAGCCUAAUUUACAGAUUUAAACUUAUGUUACAGAUAGAUUUUAUCUGUAUACUG